This 484-nucleotide ribosomal RNA is filed under the name uncultured bacterium. RNAcentral describes it as "partial 16S ribosomal RNA". It matches the Rfam family "Bacterial small subunit ribosomal RNA", at positions 30 to 507 of the family's 1533-position model. The record is from RNAcentral.
AUUGAACGCUGGCGGCAGGCCUAACACAUGCAAGUCGAGCGGAUGAAGGGAGCUUGCUCCUGGAUUCAGCGGCGGACGGGUGAGUAAUGCCUAGGAAUCUGCCUGGUAGUGGGGGAUAACGUCCGGAAACGGGCGCUAAUACCGCAUACGUCCUGAGGGAGAAAGUGGGGGAUCUUCGGACCUCACGCUAUCAGAUGAGCCUAGGUCGGAUUAGCUAGUUGGUGGGGUAAAGGCCUACCAAGGCGACGGUCCGUAACUGGUCUGAGAGGAUGAUCAGUCACACUGGAACUGAGACACGGUCCAGACUCCUACGGGAGGCAGCAGUGGGGGAUAUUGGACAAUGGGCGAAAGCCUGAUCCAGCCAUGCCGCGUGUGUGAAGAAGGUCUUCGGAUUGUAAAGCACUUUAAGUUGGGAGGAAGGGCAGUAAGUUAAUACCUUGCUGUUUUGACGUUACCAACAGAAUAAGCACCGGCUAACUUCGUG